AGAGUUUGAUCCUGGCUCAGGAUGAACGCUAGCGGGAGGCCUAACACAUGCAAGUCGAGCGCAUACCUUCGGGUAUGAGCGGCGGACGGGUGAGUAACGCGUAGGUCAUCUACCCUUUGGUGGGGGAUAACCCAGGGAAACUUGGGCUAAUACCGCACGAGGUCUACGGAUCAAAGCCUUCGGGCGCCAGAGGAUGAGCCUGCGUCGCAUUACCUAGUUGGCGGGGUAACGGCCCACCAAGGGGACGAUGCGUAGCUGGUCUGAGAGGAUGAUCAGCCACACUGGGACUGAGACACGGCCCAGACUCCUACGGGAGGCAGCAGUGGGGAAUAUUGCGCAAUGGGGGAAACCCUGACGCAGCCACGCCGCGUGGGUGAUGAAGGCCUUCGGGUUGUAAAGCCCUGUCGGGAGGGACGAAUUCUUGACGGUACCUCCAAAGAAAGCACCGGCUAACUCCGUG
This 460-nucleotide ribosomal RNA is filed under the name uncultured bacterium. RNAcentral's name for it is "bacterial SSU rRNA". It matches the Rfam family "Bacterial small subunit ribosomal RNA", at positions 8 to 507 of the family's 1533-position model. The record is from RNAcentral.